AUGGCGCGGGGGGAGGUGGAGGUGGUGCUGACGCUGCUCUUCAACCUGCUGCUGCUGGUGUUCCUGGUGAAGCUCCUGGUGGCCAUGUUCAGCACCAAGCUCGCCGUCAUCCUGCUCUACCUCGCCCUCCUCCUCUUCGCCAUGGCCCUCUCCGGCCGCUUCCCCGGCGGCGAGUUCCUCUGA
This 183-nucleotide ribosomal RNA is filed under the name Triticum aestivum (bread wheat). RNAcentral describes it as "partial small subunit ribosomal RNA". Lineage: Eukaryota; Viridiplantae; Streptophyta; Magnoliopsida; Poales; Poaceae. The record is from RNAcentral.